UAUCAUUUAAUUCAGGACAAAAAAAAAUAGGGCGGUGGUGACAUCAAUUGGACCUUAUUUUUAAACUCUUGAGAUGUUAGUAGAGAAUCUUCUCCCUGGACCUGUGUAGAGCGGCAGACAUGUUUAAAUGGACCUAAAGUCAUCAGUCUUCAAGAGGAAGCCCUGGAGACCACGGUUAGCUGAGCAGGAUCAGGAGCUUCCAGAGGGUUCUGAGGGCGGCGGAACUUCCCGGCCUUCCUGCAGGUGGGACAGCCACUUCUUUCACCAGUGCAUUCUGGUUAUAUCUAAGAGUUGGGUUGUUCUGACAGAACUUCCAGCUUGUCCUCAGAGACCUGCACAGGGCCAUCCCCAGGAACAGAACCAAGACCCGCAUGGGACAGGAGGGGACACAGAAUGGCACAAAUUUGCAAGCAUGCAUUCCAUAAUCAAUGGGUUGUUUCUUUUAAUGCCACACACAUUUAUUGAGCGCCCACUGCAUGCCUGGCACGGUCUGGCAAACAAAUCAGACAUGCCUGUUGCCCCGGAGGAGCUCACGGUGCAGUGGAGGAGGAGAGCGUGAACCAGGAAACGGCCCAGGAGGUAAAUUUAGAUGGCAUGAGUUGGUGCGACAGGAAGUAAACAGCGAGAAGCGGCGGGCUGGUUGGGGGAGGCUGUUGCUCCCGUCACAAGGUCAGGGAAGGCCAUUCGAGCUGAGGUCUUGGACCAUGUGAGUCAAGAUCUGGGGGAAAGGCGAGUCGGUGGCAGGCACUGCCAGGGCAAAGGCUGGGAGGCAAGUCCGAGUGGGUGAGCCACAGGAGGCCAGCACAGGACUGCAGGGAGAGCUGGCCGUGCUCCCCGCCGACACACCCCACCCCCGUCCCCUGGCUUCUGUCCCCUGCUCCGUUGACCAUGGUGGCAUCUCCACCAGCCUCCUGGAGGCUGAAUCCAGGACCAUCCCCUCAGCCACACACACCGGGUCCCUUCCACACCCCUUCACCACACUGUGCCACCUCCAAGCAGGGUCCUCUGCCUGCUGCCAUCUUGCUUGCGUGGGUGGUGAAAUCCGCCUUUUUAACCAUUUCUAGGUUCACGGUGCAGUGGCUUUGGUCCACUCCCAUGGCUCUGCAGCCUCCCCCCCCCCCAGCUCCAGAACCUCCUCAUCUUCCCAAGCAGGAGCUCUGACCCCUCCAACCUGACCCCGGGCCCUCCCAUCCCAGGCUCCCACCAGGCUGCUUCCUGUCUCUGGAUCUGAGGCUCCAGGGUCCUCCUGUGGGUGGACCUGCAGUCCUCCUGUUGUGUCCGGCUCACAUCACUGCACACAACGACCUCCAGGUGCACCCUUCAGUACAGCAAAUCAGAACUUCCUUUUCCUGGCUGGGUGGUAUUCCACUGCACAGAUGGACCCCAUCAUCCAUGAGUCCGCCGAGGGACAACUGGGUUCUUUUGACCCUUGGGCUGUUGUGAGUCUUUCUCCUGAGGACACGGGUGUACCCCUGUCUUUAGGUUCCUGCUUUGGUCCUCCUUUUAAGACUUAGAGGAUGGCUUUCCCUUCGGCUCCUAACUGCUAUCACCGAUGUGGCCACUAGAGAGCAGCACUUUCCCGUGGCUUCGCUCCCACCCGCUAAGACCAGAGAGAAGCCGAAAACCCGCUGGGAGUGGAAACCCCAGGCCUUGGGGCCAGGGGUGGCCUGAGUAGCCGGG
Molecule: long non-coding RNA, 1680 nt
Filed under: Marmota monax (woodchuck)
Lineage: Eukaryota; Metazoa; Chordata; Mammalia; Rodentia; Sciuridae
Source: RNAcentral